AAAUUGAAGAGUUUGAUCAUGGCUCAGAUUGAACGCUGGCGGCAGGCCUAACACAUGCAAGUCGAGCGGAAACGAGAAUAGCUUGCUAUUCGGCGUCGAGCGGCGGACGGGUGAGUAAUGCCUGGGAAAUUGCCCUGAUGUGGGGGAUAACCAUUGGAAACGAUGGCUAAUACCGCAUGAUGCCUUCGGGCCAAAGAGGGGGACCUUCGGGCCUCUCGCGUCAGGAUAUGCCCAGGUGGGAUUAGCUAGUUGGUGAGGUAAAGGCUCACCAAGGCGACGAUCCCUAGCUGGUCUGAGAGGAUGAUCAGCCACACUGGAACUGAGACACGGUCCAGACUCCUACGGGAGGCAGCAGUGGGGAAUAUUGCACAAUGGGCGCAAGCCUGAUGCAGCCAUGCCGCGUGUAUGAAGAAGGCCUUCGGGUUGUAAAGUACUUUCAGCAGUGAGGAAGGGUGUGAGGUUAA
This 464-nucleotide ribosomal RNA is filed under the name Vibrio penaeicida. RNAcentral describes it as "bacterial SSU rRNA". It matches the Rfam family "Bacterial small subunit ribosomal RNA", at positions 1 to 463 of the family's 1533-position model. The record is from RNAcentral. Lineage: Bacteria; Pseudomonadati; Pseudomonadota; Gammaproteobacteria; Vibrionales; Vibrionaceae.